GAUGAACGCUGGCGGCGUGCCUAAUACAUGCAAGUCGAGCGAACGGACGAGAAGCUUGCUUCUCUGACGUUAGCGGCGGACGGGUGAGUAACACGUGGAUAACCUACCUAUAAGACUGGGAUAACUUCGGGAAACCGGAGCUAAUACCGGAUAAUAUUUUGAACCGCAUGGUUCAAUAGUGAAAGACGGUUUUGCUGUCACUUAUAGAUGGAUCCGCGCUGCAUUAGCUAGUUGGUAAGGUAACGGCUUACCAAGGCAACGAUGCAUAGCCGACCUGAGAGGGUGAUCGGCCACACUGGAACUGAGACACGGUCCAGACUCCUACGGGAGGCAGCAGUAGGGAAUCUUCCGCAAUGGGCGAAAGCCUGACGGAGCAACGCCGCGUGAGUGAUGAAGGUCUUCGGAUCGUAAAACUCUGUUAUUAGGGAAGAACAUAUGUGUAAGUAACUGUGCACAUCUUGACGGUACCUAAUCAGAAAGCCACGGCUAACUACGUG
Molecule: ribosomal RNA, 497 nt
Filed under: uncultured bacterium
Lineage: Bacteria
Description: partial 16S ribosomal RNA
Rfam family: Bacterial small subunit ribosomal RNA
Source: RNAcentral